AGGGUGUAAACGCUGCAGACUUGGUGUUGGAGGCCCUUUGGGGGCAUUCAGUGCCGGAGAGAAGUUGUUAAGUCUGCUACUUGGGGAGUACGUCCGCAAGGAUGAAACUUAAAGGAAUUGGCGGGGGAGCACCGCAACGGGAGGAGCGUGCGGUUUAAUUGGAUUCAACACCGUAAAACUCACCAGGGAAGACUGUUACAUGAAGGCCGAGAUGAAGACUCUGCUAGAUUUUCUAGAGAGGUGGUGCAUGGCGUCAGUGACUGU
Molecule: ribosomal RNA, 264 nt
Filed under: uncultured archaeon
Lineage: Archaea
Description: partial 16S ribosomal RNA
Rfam family: Archaeal small subunit ribosomal RNA
Source: RNAcentral